This 383-nucleotide ribosomal RNA is filed under the name uncultured eukaryote. RNAcentral's name for it is "partial 18S ribosomal RNA". It matches the Rfam family "Eukaryotic small subunit ribosomal RNA", at positions 592 to 976 of the family's 1831-position model. The record is from RNAcentral.
CAAUAGCGUAUAUUAAAGUUGUUGCAGUUAAAAAGCUCGUAGUUGGAUUUCUGGUAGGAGUGACCGUUCCGAACUUGAUUGUUCGUGUAUUGUGUUUUCUCCAGCCAUCCUUGUGGAGAACUUUUCUUGCAUUAAUUUGUAGGGAUUGGGACCCGCAUCGUUUACUGUGAGAAAAUUAGAGUGUUUAAAGCAGGCAAUCGCUUGAAUACAUUAGCAUGGAAUAAUAAGAUAGGACUUUGGUACUAUUUUGUUGGUUUGCAUACCAAAUUAAUGAUCAACAGGAACAGUUUGAGGAUAUUCGUAUGAACAUGUCAGAGGUGAAAUUCUUGGAUUUUGAUCAGACGAACUACUGCGAAAGCAUUUAUCAAGGAUGUUUUCAUUAA